This is a non-coding RNA of Schistosoma mansoni, 45 nucleotides long. The record is from Rfam. NCBI's taxonomy places the organism in Eukaryota, Metazoa, Platyhelminthes, Trematoda, Strigeidida, Schistosomatidae.
AUCCGGCUGACGAGUCCCAAUCAAGACGAAACGUACGUCUUAGAU